This is a long non-coding RNA of Neopelma chrysocephalum (saffron-crested tyrant-manakin), 666 nucleotides long. RefSeq lists it as uncharacterized. The record is from RefSeq and is a predicted model, not a curated record. The transcript is spliced from 2 exons. Lineage: Eukaryota; Metazoa; Chordata; Aves; Passeriformes; Pipridae.
CAGAGACAUUUAAAAUCCAGAGAUUAGUAGUCCUCAUUCAGCUGAUUUGGUUACAGAAAGCCCAAGAUGAAAUGCAGGAGGUGGCAGACAAAGAAUAAACUCAGGUCUGGUUUACCACAGUAAAGGUGCAGACCAUGUGUUUCUACAAGGAAAUCUAUUUUGGAAAUCUGGGAAGAUUCCCAUACAUUGAAAAUAUUGAUGCAUGUUUCUUAUGGAUGGUAUAUAGGAGAUUGUGCAAUGAGCUCAGUUGAAACACAUACAGAUUACAGAUAUAGAAAUGAUUUUGCAGUUAAUGUCAGCUUGAUCGCCAGGGUCUUGUAAUAAGGUGGACAGUUCAUAUAUCUGACAACAGUAGCACAACUGACUCAUUAGUCACAACAGUAUUCCUACUUAUUUAUUCUCCUCUCUCAAGUCUGGAGCACGUACAAAGGACACCAGAUCUUCUACCAAAAUCAGAUGCCACUUUCAAGUACUUUGUAACUGAACCAACAGAUAAUGCAGUCAGAUUCUCUCUCAUUCUAGAACAUGGAUCAAAAAUAAAAAGAGGGAAGAAAACAUCAUUCUGUGAAAAUAAAGUUCUUCGUAAUUCAGUUUAUCUGUAAUGUUCCUAUCAAAUGUAAGGCACCCAAUAUCACGUUAAAUAAAUUUAAAAUUGUUUAUAAUACA